This 20-nucleotide transfer RNA is filed under the name Hynobius nebulosus (clouded salamander). RNAcentral describes it as "partial tRNA-Phe". The record is from RNAcentral. Lineage: Eukaryota; Metazoa; Chordata; Amphibia; Caudata; Hynobiidae.
UUUAUGUAGCUUAAUUAAAG